ACGAACGCUGGCGGCGUGCUUAACACAUGCAAGUCGAACGGAAAGGCCUGCAGCUUGCUGCGGGUACUCGAGUGGCGAACGGGUGAGUAACACGUGGGUGAUCUGCCUUGCACUUCGGGAUAAGCUUGGGAAACUGGGUCUAAUACCGGAUAGGACAGCUGUUUAGUGUCAGUUGUGGAAAGUUUUUUCGGUGCAAGAUGAGCUCGCGGCCUAUCAGCUUGUUGGUGGGGUAAUGGCCUACCAAGGCGUCGACGGGUAGCCGGCCUGAGAGGGUGUACGGCCACAUUGGGACUGAGAUACGGCCCAGACUCCUACGGGAGGCAGCAGUGGGGAAUAUUGCACAAUGGGCGGAAGCCUGAUGCAGCGACGCCGCGUGGGGGAUGAAGGCCUUCGGGUUGUAAACUCCUUUCGACAGGGACGAAGCGUAAGUGACGGUACCUGUAUAAGAAGCACCGGCUAACUACGUGCCAGCAGCCGCGGUAAUACGUAGGGUGCGAGCGUUGUCCGGAAUUACUGGGCGUAAAGAGCUCGUAGGUGGUUUGUCGCGUCGUCUGUGAAAUUCCGGGGCUUAACUCCGGGCGUGCAGGCGAUACGGGCUGACUUGAGUGCUGUAGGGGAGACUGGAAUUCCUGGUGUAGCGGUGAAAUGCGCAGAUAUCAGGAGGAACACCGAUGGCGAAGGCAGGUCUCUGGGCAGUAACUGACGCUGAGGAGCGAAAGCAUGGGUAGCGAACAGGAUUAGAUACCCUGGUAGUCCAUGCCGUAAACGGUGGGCGCUAGGUGUAGGGGGCUUCCACGUCUUCUGUGCCGUAGCUAACGCAUUAAGCGCCCCGCCUGGGGAGUACGGCCCGCAGGCUA
This 857-nucleotide ribosomal RNA is filed under the name uncultured Actinomycetes bacterium. Its description in RNAcentral is "bacterial SSU rRNA". It matches the Rfam family "Bacterial small subunit ribosomal RNA", at positions 29 to 896 of the family's 1533-position model. The record is from RNAcentral. Lineage: Bacteria; Bacillati; Actinomycetota; Actinomycetes.